UAUGAUCGAGGGGAAACAAUGCUGUGAUAUCACUUCCUGUCAUCUCAAUUUUGUAGACAAGUGUUCUGUUGAUCUUCUCCGCUGAAAGGAAGAGAGAUCACCAUGAUCAUUCUACUCUUUUUAUCUCCUGCCAUAUUGUCUGGUUUGGUUGCAUGUCAUCAGGUUGAGCAGUCCCCUCCUCAUCUACUGAAGAAUCGCACAGAAUCUGCUAAACUCUCCUGUUCGCACUCAGUCAAAGAGUUUGAACACAUACUUUGGUUUAAGCAGUCCAAAGAUGGGAAAUUCAUUUAUCUUGGAUACCUCAACCUCAAAAAUCCUUAUCCAGAAGAUGAAUAUAAAGGCAUAAUUCAGCUUGAUGGGAAUGGAAACAGUGCUUCCACGCUCACCAUUAACAAUCUAACACCAAAAGACAAUGCUGUUUAUUUCUGCGCAGCACGGAGACACAGUGUCUCAAGUCUCAUCCUUCCUGCACAAAAACAUACAGCUCAGUAAGAAUGUACAUGAGAGCAGUGCCUCUUACACACCUGCAACAAACCACUCAAAUAUCAGAUGCUGUGAAACACAUGCUCUUGUCUUUAGUCUGUACUAUCUUUCCUACA
Molecule: non-coding RNA, 599 nt
Organism: Pygocentrus nattereri (red-bellied piranha)
Lineage: Eukaryota; Metazoa; Chordata; Actinopteri; Characiformes; Serrasalmidae
Source: the annotation of a RefSeq genome assembly